GUCUACAGCCAUGUCACCCUGAACACAUUCGAUCUCAUCUGAUCUUGGAAGCUAAGCAUGGUCGGGCCUGGUUAGUACUUGGAUAGGAGACCUAGGAAGACCGGGUGCUGUAGGCA
Molecule: ribosomal RNA, 116 nt
Filed under: Pteropus alecto (black flying fox)
Lineage: Eukaryota; Metazoa; Chordata; Mammalia; Chiroptera; Pteropodidae
Also listed under: 1 other name
Source: RNAcentral